AGAGCGAACGCUGGCGGCAGGCCUAACACAUGCAAGUCGAGCGCCCAGCAAUGGGAGCGGCAGACGGGAUAGUAACACGUGGGAACGUACCUUUCGGUUCGGAACAACCCAGGGAAACUUGGGCUAAUACCGAAUACGCCCGUAAGGGGAAAGAUUUAUCGCUGAAAGAUCGGCCCGCGUCUGAUUAGCUAGUUGGUGGGGUAAUGGCCCACCAAGGCGACGAUCAGUAGCUGGUCUGAGAGGAUGAUCAGCAUCACUGGGACUGAGACACGGCCCAGACUCCUACGGGAGGCAGCAGUGGGGAAUAUUGGACAAUGGGCGCAAGCCUGAUCCAGCCAUGCCGCGUGGAUGAUGAAGGCCCUAGGGUUGUAAAGUCCUUUCGGCGGGGAAGAUAAUGACGGUACCCGCAGAAGAAGCCCCGGCUAACUUCGCGCCAGCAGCCGC
RNAcentral lists this ribosomal RNA (444 nucleotides) under uncultured bacterium. RNAcentral describes it as "SSU rRNA". It matches the Rfam family "Bacterial small subunit ribosomal RNA", at positions 26 to 518 of the family's 1533-position model. The record is from RNAcentral.